AGAGUUUGAUCCUGGCUCAGAUUGAACGCUGGCGGCAUGCCUUACACAUGCAAGUCGAACGGUAACAGGUUAAGCUGACGAGUGGCGAACGGGUGAGUAAUAUAUCGGAACGUGCCCAGUCGUGGGGGAUAACGCAGCGAAAGUUGUGCUAAUACCACAUACGACCUACGGGUGAAAGGGGGGGAUCGCAAGACCUCUCGCUAUUGGAGCGGCCGAUGUCAGAUUAGGUAGUUGGUGGGGUAAAGGCUCACCAAGCCGACGAUCUGUAGCUGGUCUGAGAGGACGACCAGCCACACUGGGACUGAGACACGGCCCAGACUCCUACGGGAGGCAGCAGUGGGGAAUUUUGGACAAUGGGCGCAAGCCUGAUCCAGCCAUGCCGCGUGCGGGAAGAAGGCCUUCGGGUUGUAAACCGCUUUUGUCAGGGAAGAAAUCUUUUGAGUUAAUACCUCGAGAGGAUGACGGUACCUGAAGAAUAAGCACCGGCUAACUACGUGCCAGCAGCCGCGGUAAUACGUAGGGUGCGAGCGUUAAUCGGAAUUACUGGGCGUAAAGCGUGCGCAGGCGGUUGUGCAAGACAGGUGUGAAAUCCCCGGGCUUAACCUGGGAACUGCACUUGUGACUGCACGGCUGGAGUGCGGCAGAGGGGGAUGGAAUUCCGCGUGUAGCAGUGAAAUGCGUAGAUAUGCGGAGGAACACCGAUGGCGAAGGCAAUCCCCUGGGCCUGCACUGACGCUCAUGCACGAAAGCGUGGGGAGCAAACAGGAUUAGAUACCCCGGUAGU
Molecule: ribosomal RNA, 784 nt
Filed under: uncultured bacterium
Lineage: Bacteria
Description: bacterial SSU rRNA
Rfam family: Bacterial small subunit ribosomal RNA
Source: RNAcentral